GCAAGCUUUUGGAAGGGUCCCGCUCACGAGGCACAAACUUCACCAGUGCCAGGAAUGGCCUCUAAGGAAAGUAGGACAGGAUUGGCAGAAGCCCCUUAUGCAUGGCUGGCUCCCUCUAACCAAGCUGCUGGGCGCUAAAGGCCUCUCUGGCUUUGGGAAAUGCUGCCAGACGGGAGAUAAAAGGGCAAAGGGCAGGAGGGCCCAGAGAAGAGCAGCCAUCCUGCCCUCCCCUCCCCAACUGGCUCUUACCAUUGGCUCAGAGGAAGUCCUCUUAGCUCUGGGGUGGUCCCGGUUUGCCCUUCAGAGAAGUGGGCACGACCGCUUCCACCAGCCUACCUGUCUUGCGGAGGUAUUGAUUUUACCAAGCCUUGUUUUCCACCAACCCUAGGGUGCGGGGCCUCAGGUGACAACCUGAAUGGAAACACCCAAUGGAAAAGCAUACCCGGCUGGAGGCUGUGAGGAGAGGGCAAGGUGAACCAAGACAUAACAGCCAGAGGGAAGAAAGGAACAUCUGGAAAACAUCAGUGCUGUGCCUACGGAAACUGAGCAUGCCUGGAAAAGGGCCAGAUGUCCACAGAUGUCCACCAGGGGCUCUGAGGAACCGCGCCAUGGCCAGUUGCUACACAAAUGAGACAACUUCCGUCAAUCUAUAGCUGGGGUGAAGCAGCACCUUUUCAAAGAUAGGUGAUGAUUAUGCAAAUGAGGUCAGCCCAGCUUCCACAUCCGUUUGCCCCAAGCAGAACGACUUUCUCUCCUCCUUCAGAAAGCGCCCCUUUAUGUAAUAUUCACUAGAUGUCCUUUCACAAACCCAAGUGCAUGCACACCUCCUCAGGUCUGGCAAGUACAAGUCCUUAAUCCCCUGCUUGCUUUUACAUGGGUUCACAGAACGGCCUGCAGGUCAGCCAAGGAGAACAAAUGCUGAGUGAACGGUUUGAACACCACCACAGCAGCCCGGUAAUCAACUUAGCAUCCUGUUAACAGCCCCGCUGAUCUUUGAACAUUCACCGGGAGCCUCGAGAAAACGCCAGAGAAAUUUGUUUUUAUUCGAAUACAGUCCAGCAGUCACCUUGGGGAAGAAUGUUCGGAUCUAAUUCAAGAGCACUGGAUGCCCAGCUUAUUUAAAAAGACUGUCUGUACACGAUAAGCAUUCCAUAGCCACUGGCAUAACCCCAGAGCCAUCUGCCCUGGGCAAACGACUCUGCUUCAGCCUCCAACUUGCAAAAUCAUGGCAACGGAUGGCAGGAUGUCUAGGGUUCUCUUUGCCUCGUGCUACUUCCAAAUGAAUGCUUGGUAGUGUUGAUUUUUGCUAGGGCUUUAUUCAAAGAGGGUUGGGCUAGCCACAGUGACUAAUGCUCCGGUACACCAUAGUGAUCUGCUACUUCCUCUCAGACCUAUUCACUUUCUGUCUUGAGAAGAUCAGGUUCAUGGAUCGUAGGCUGGUUUGAAAUUUGUAUAUGACCAAGUAUGGCCUUGAACUUCUGAUUCUCCUGCUGUCAUGCUCAAUGUUCUGGGAUUAUAGGCUUGAACUACCACAUCUAUUCUAUGUGGGUCUGGAGAUGGAACCCAGUACUUUAUGAAUUCUAGGCAAGCACUUUACCAGCUGAGCUAUAUCCUCAGUCCCCUAUUUACUCCUGUAUGUUUAAGAGACAGUCCAGCAUCCUUACUUGGGCAAUAAGCUCAGAAUUCACAUUAACCAUCCAUUAUAAAAUGCCUAAUAUAAAAUAGCAACUCAGUUGGCAACAUCUCUGAACUAGAAGAAGGCAUACUGUGAUAUACUGUUGCAUUCCACACCUGUGUAAUAAUGGAGCUGUCCCACCUCUAUCAAUGGGAGAACUACAAAGGUUCUAAUGAUUUAUCCAUCCAUUCAGACAUUACCCAAUAUUUACACAGGUCACAUAUAAAUGGGUCUUCCUUAGCUGGAGCUUCCGCCUAUAAUUUUGAUAAAUCUGGACCCCAGAUUAAGUGAAUUCCUCUCAAGGCACUUGGUUCUGUGAAAAACCUAUUAAUACCAACCCAACUGAACUGAGUCUUAGUAAGUCAACUGAAUCUCAUGCAACAGGACAAGGCUCCUUUGAAUCACACUCCAGUGAAGCGGUUUUUAAAAGAGGGGGUGGCUGCAGCCUGGGCUUCAGGCCCUUUGGCUUACAGAGACCCCGAUGCCUCUGAAGAACCAAGUAGGUUGGAGACUUCUCAGCUCAGAAGGCCAUUGAGCGGAAGUGGCUCUUCAGGAGUGUCACGCUAUCACAUUCCCCAGCAGACUCAAGGAGAGUCUGGUCAUCUGCGGUGGAAACCAGAGAACCCCUCGCACUGGCUGGCUGACUGUAGCUGCAUGCAAUCUGAGAUGCUUCUGCAACUUUCCAGCGCUGGCCGGCCCGCACACAUCUGUGAUUGAUUACUGGGAUGCGUUCAGAAGCCAGGGACUCUGCCUGGGACCUCCAGCGAUAAUCUCUUCUCUCUCCUUUGUGUUCACUUUGAGGGGUAGAGAACUACACCAAGACAGGUUGAGGAACGAAUCCCGAAUGGUUACAUCUGAGCAGAGAAGAGGGUUUUUAAUGCAAGUUUCUGUACAAAAUUUUGAAAUCCCAAAAUGUCGUGCUCCACAUGUGGAAAUUUGAAUUCAGACACUUAGCCUGAGAUCUGUUUGGCAGUUUAACCUACGUCCAGUUGUCGCAAUCUGAUUUUUACAUCAGAUUUUGGACGUGAGCAGCAUCCAGGAGGGUUUGACCAUGUGCCAGGUGGUCACAGUUUAAGGGAGAGAAAGGCUUGUAGAGAAACCCCGGGAUAGGAUGGGCUUUCCAGGCACAGUGGCCAAGGCUGGACAGACACACUCAGCAGGCGGUAAAAUGUGAACUGAAGCAGAACUUAUCCAAACAAGCUUGCGGGGGAGAGGAGAGGCUCCUUUUCUGCCAUGGAUCAGAAGUUUUUCCACUUGAAUAGGUCUGGCUCUGAACCCGGUUUAUGUGGCCAGCCCUUAAAGAAGAGCUAUAGAAAUGUGUGCCAGUUACACCUCAGAGUAUGGGGUGCAAGCUCUGACUGUCUCCCCACCUGGCCGUGUCCAUGCUACAGAAUGUAAUAUUAAGCCCGUUAAUUUUGUAGAAUGGAGUCAAAAAUCACUAACUUUCUCAAUCUGAAAUCUAUUUCCACUGACUUUUUUUUUAACUACUGAAUUCAGUAAAAUCCCCUUACAUGCCAUUUAGUUAUUUUUUUUUUUUCCAACGUCAACGAUACAUGGUCAUUUCAAAGAGAUGCAAAUAACAGUAAAGUAGCACCUGGGCCACAGUGCAACCUAAUUUUAUCCUGGAAAAUAUGAUGAUGUAGGGCUGGGACUUUACUGCUCCCCUCCUGACCCUCUCUCUUCACCUCUGCCUGGCCUUUCACCCUGGUUAGCCCUUAUACAUGAAGGGUGAAUGUUACAUUCAAGGCUAUGUAGCUUUUAAAAAACUGAUAGACACGCCUAACAGAUGGCUCAGCAGUAAAAGGUGCUUGUCACCACACCUUACGACUCGUUCAAUCCCUAGAGCCCAUAUGGUGGAAGGAGAGAACUGAAUUCCUCACAUGGUCCUCUGACCUCCAUGUGCACACACCACACACUCUAAAUAAAGGUAAGAUGAAGAAAGAAUAGCCAUAAAAAUGUUGACAUAAUAACUGAAUGUCUUCAUGGAGCACACUGUGAUGUCUUAGUACAUUGUAUGUUGAUCAACAAAAGACACUUAGACCAUCCAUCCUUGUCAAUAUUUUUCAUUUCUUUGUAUUGAGAACAUUCAAAAAACCUUCUCGUCUAGUUAUUUUGAGCUACCCAUCUUCCCAUUGCAAAAUCGUUCUAAAAAGAAGCCCACUCUAGCUGGGAGGCAGCACUCACCGAGUGACUCUCAGACAAGUUAAGAGAUGGGAGACCAGUCUUCAGUGACUUCCUAGGAGGUCUCCAAAAUUAGCAUUGACUCUAUACAAUUUUUACUUGACACAUGACUCUAAUGCAUUCCUAACUAAAUCAGCACCUUAGGUUCCCGUUAGUUAGAGUAGUAUGGCCUAACGUUGCUGAUAAGGACCCAGAGCUGUAGCUCUGAGAUAUUCACAUUGGGUGUCCAUGUAUCUCCCUCAGGGCAUUGCAAUAACUCCCAAGGGUGCCUUGGAAUAUUAGAUUGAGGCUGGAGAGGGGAAGAGAAUAACAUCCAGUGUCUCAGGCUAUUCUGAAAGAGCAGCUAGUGAUCUUACCCUCUGAGCCAUCUUUUCAGCUCCUCUAUUCUAAGAGAGAGAGAGACAGACAGACAGACAGACAGAGACUGCUACAGUGUUUCCUAGCUAACUUUUCGUUUAAAUCUUUGUGUUCAAAUAAACGCAUAGUUUCCUGAUUGGACACUGACUAAUAUUCAGUACCAUAUACACCAUUAGCAAUGCAUCAGUGUUUGCUCAAGCUUGUUCACAGCUUAAUGUCACAUUGUGCUGUUUUUCACAUGAUGACACCAUUUCUUUCCAAAGAUAGGUGAUAAACAAGAAUUCUGUGAAUGGGAACACAGAACAGGAAGUUAGGGUUGCAGGACGCUAUCAGAACUCAAGGUUGGCAAAGUUGUGAGGUGACUCAUGACAGACCCCCUCACUUCACAUUCCAAGCCUGUCCUUCAUUACCUGCUGUGAGAAACUCAGGGGCCUUUGUCCAGUGUUUCUUCUGCAGCUGAUAGAAUUCUGCAUUUAUUCAGUGGAUGGCACUUCUUAAAAUGUAUAGAAAGAAGUUCCCUUCUGGGACUUGGUGCUUGCCUUCUGUGGGUGUCCUGAGCAGCUAGCUCCUUAGCAGACACUUCAUCAGCUGGCUCCCAUUGUGCAUCUGAUUGACUGGCACCACCUGGCCUCAGGCAGUUAGUUCCUUCUGGCAUCCCCCUUCAGGUGAUGGACAAAUGUCUCAAGUGAGAAAAUUCCUCGUGAACAGCAGUCCUCAGCAGCUUAGAGGAUGACUUUCCAGCAAGUUCCGCCAGCACACCCAACACCCUAGUGACUUGGCUUCCGCUCAGCGAGCCAAUAUCUGGAGUGGAGGAAGCUGUUCUCUCUCGUUUGCUAGCAAUCUCUGUAUUUCCUACCAGCCAGUCACCACCAGAGUUAAUAUUUCCUUUUAAUAGAUUCAUUUCUCUUUACCACGUUUAUCACUGUGGUGAAACACAUGGCAUAAAAAUGAUCAUUGCGGGGCUGGAGAGAUGGCUCAGCUGUGAAGAGCACUGGCUGCUCUUCCAGAGGUCCUGAAUUCAAUUCCCAGCAACCACAUGGUGGCUCACAACCAUCUGUCAUGAGAUCUGGUGCCCUCUUCUGGCCUGCAGGCACACAUAUACAUAACAAAUAAAUCUUUAAAAAAUUGUCAUUGCAACCAUGAAAAUGUUUAGAUUAGUGACAAUAAGUACAUUCAUAUGUUUGUAUAGCUAUCAUCACUAUACAUCUUCAGAAUAUUUUAAAUCUUGGAAACUAUUUAAUGGGCUACUUUCUGUCUCUAGACUGGCUAUUCUCAGUAUCGUACCUAAGUAGGUUAAACAGUGUUGAUGUUUUUGUGACUGACGGGCUUUCUUCAUUGACCUUCAGCCAUGCCAAGAAACGUGUCUGAAUCUCCUUUUGAAGGCUGAGUAAUAUUCCACAUCACCCCUGUAACAUAUUUUGGGUUGUUCCCGCCUAUUGCUACUGCUAUGAAUAUAGAUGCAUGGAUAUAUUUUUGACACUGUUUGCGAAUAUUUUUGUUAUGUAACCAUAAAUGGACUUGCAGGACUAAGUGUACGUGUGUUUGUGUGAGUGUAUGCCACCCUGUGUAUAGAUACCCAUGGCAGCCAGAGGAGGAAGUCCGAUCCCCUGGAGCCGGAGUUACAGGAAGUUGUGAGCCAUCAAUGUGUGUGUUGGGAAUCAAACACAGGUAUUCUGAAA
This is a non-coding RNA of Peromyscus maniculatus bairdii (prairie deer mouse), 5892 nucleotides long. The record is from RefSeq and is a predicted model, not a curated record. Lineage: Eukaryota; Metazoa; Chordata; Mammalia; Rodentia; Cricetidae.